Molecule: ribosomal RNA, 252 nt
Filed under: uncultured bacterium
Lineage: Bacteria
Description: partial 16S ribosomal RNA
Rfam family: Bacterial small subunit ribosomal RNA
Source: RNAcentral
UACGAAGGGGCAAGCGUUGUUCGGAAUGACUGGGCGUAAAGGGCGCGUAGGCGGUUCGUUGCGUCAGAUGUGAAAGCCCCGGGCUCAACCUGGGAACUGCAUUUGAUACGGGCGAGCUUGAAUCCAAGAGAGGGUGGUGGAAUUCCCAGUGUAGAGGUGAAAUUCGUAGAUAUUGGGAAGAACACCAGUGGCGAAGGCGGCCACCUGGCUUGGUAUUGACGCUGAGGCGCGAAAGCGUGGGGAGCAAACAGG